Molecule: long non-coding RNA, 1775 nt
Organism: Pecten maximus
Lineage: Eukaryota; Metazoa; Mollusca; Bivalvia; Pectinida; Pectinidae
Exons: 2
Source: RefSeq, a predicted model, not a curated record
GAAGAAGAAACCCGAUUUUAUUAUACUGAUGCCGUGACCUCGGAGCGAAGCUAACACAAAGCGGACACAACGUGAAGAUGAAGAAUCCACUUUAUACAACUAUAUGUCCACGCAACCACUAUACGAUCAUCGGUGACAGUAAAAUUCCAUGGUAACAAGAUGCAGAUCAACAUGUAACCUGUUCACUAUCAGCAAUACCUCCAAUAUCAACCUGGCCAUUUGAAGACUUUCCUGAAUAGAUACCAACAUCAAUCAAAGUCGAAUUGUGACCAGCUCUAAGAAUAUUCCUACGACCACCCAUGAUGUCCAACUGGCUAUGGCACAGCCGCUGAUUCCACCAUCGUACCAGGCACAACUAUACCCACGUCUCCACAGCAUCAUGCCUCCUCCGGAGAUCGCUGAAGAGUCCGUUUGAACAGAUUACUUUAAAAUAUACCAACAUAUCAACGAGUUCCUUGUUUGUCAACACCAAUUAUUAAUGUCUACAACCUUUAGCAGAGAUUCCUCACGUGGUAUUAACACGGAGUUGUUUAAGUAAUUAUGAUUCUACUGCUAACUGUGAAGAGACAUUGUUGUAACUUACGUCUACAUUAUUCCUAUGAAGAGUUUUCCUCACAUGGUUGUACAUGGAGUGAACAUUUUGUUUUAUGAAAUAUAAGUGACAUUAUAUGAAGAGUUCACCUCACGUGGUUAUAACACGGAGUAAUAAAUAAAUUGUUUAAUGAACUCUCAUAAUAUUUCGUCAUGUUGUUGGACUGAUUCAUAUCCGAUGCAGUUUUUAUGCCGGAAUAUUACAAUGUAUCUACGAAAUUUUGGACCAGCCCCUCAUAACAACUGACACAGUCAACGGAACAUUUCAACCACAUAUUAUGAUUAUUGAAGGAACAUUUUCCUGUUUUAUCUACAAAUAUGUUACAAGGAACUCAGUUCUACUUUACCAGUCUUAGCCUUAUUGUGUGCAAGACGUUUUUAUCCUGGAUUAAACAGACGGUUGUACGUCACUCCUAGGAACUUUUAUUUACUUUAUAUAUUGUUCAACAGUUUUCUCGACGGAUUAUUGCGCGCCUGAACGUGGACCCAAUACAACAGCUGUGCCAGACGAAGAACAAUUUCAAUAAUAAAAUUUAAUUACCAGUGACAUUCAGUGAUGAACUUGUGAAACCCAUGUACUUAAUCCUUUUGAUUUAACCUGUUAAAAAUAAGUGUUAAUUUCGACUAUUUCGCUUACGCUUGAUGUCAAAUUAUAUCUAAUUUGAAAUCUUUUAAAUUGCAUAGAAACGAAAUGUACUGUAAUAUGUUCAGUAGAAGUUUAUAUAAUUAUAGAACCUGUAAAUAAUCAUAUCUACAUGUACACGUGUUAGCUAAUUUGCCAAUAAUUAGACGGACCUCGGUUCUCUAAACAACUUGGAUGUUAUCUAUACCAUGUUCAUGUAAUACUGGUAGUAUCCAAUUAUCUUUGUGUAGUUAUAAUUAAUGUUGUGUUUACAUGUAGACUUCAGGUCACGAACCCCAUAACCAUAUUAAGUUAGGGGAAAUCUAUCUGUCCGGCCAAUGCACAUCAUGAACAUAUAAAAGAGUAGCCUUCCAUUGAACUAUUGUCGACUACCUGGGAGUCAGAGUAACAACAUCUAUGUUCUGUCCCGGGCUUUCGCCCGGGACGGGACGGGACAGGACAGGACUGACCAGUACGAAUGUAUGAAUGUAUGUACAGAUGCAUAUAUGUAUAUAUAUUCGUAUAUAUUCAUUUAAUAAAGUAUCCACUACAGAAGAAGAAA